AUCCUAUAUGUAAAUGUUAUAUUGCUCUUCCUUGCACGAUCUCGUCCACUUCAGCAGUUGCGAACACCCUUUUAUUUGUAUGGUUGCAAAGCAUUCAAAAUACUGGAAAAAAUACAGCUCCAUGUAUACCCAGAUUUCACUGUUGGUGUCCAGAAAAUACAACAAAACUUGCUGCCUCGUACCUUUGGUUUGAUGCAAAUCUUCUUCCAUGUUGUCUCCGUCAACAUGGAAGAGGAACUACCAUGGUUCAGAGUUAUUACCAAGGAAAUUCCUGGCAUAAGAUGG
RNAcentral lists this long non-coding RNA (285 nucleotides) under Vigna radiata. Its description in RNAcentral is "long non-coding RNA (VRAD_LNC003975)". The record is from RNAcentral. Lineage: Eukaryota; Viridiplantae; Streptophyta; Magnoliopsida; Fabales; Fabaceae.